CAUAUCAUUAAGCGGAGGAAAAGAAACUAACUAGGAUUCCCUCAGUACGGGCGACGGAAGUGGGAAAAGCCCAAAAUGGUAAUCUCCGGUCAUCGGCCGGCGAAUUGUAAUCUGAAGAUUGUUUGCCUAACGGGAUUGGACGCAGAAGUGUUCACGAGAGAACCGCCAAAGAGGGUGAGAGCCCCGUCUGUGGUGUCCAGUCUUACCGGGCAGGCCGUCAAAGAGUCGUGUACUCUGAUACGAGUGCACUAAGCGGGAGAUAAACUUCUUCUAAGGCUAAAUAUAUGUAGGAAACCGAUAGCGAACAAGUACUGUGAAGGAAAGAUGAAAAGCACUUUGAAAAGAGAGUUAAAAGACUUGAAAUCGUUGAGGCGGAAGCGGUAGAAAUGAAUUCUACAGUUGCGAGGAGAGCCCCUGCGAAAUCAUAAGCGGAGGUGUAACUCGUAACGGUGAGGCAAGAUGGAGUCGUACGAUGCCAGAAGCGGUGGGAGUCUGCCUUUCGGGGAACUUCUGUUGGCGGGGUGUCGAACGGCUUGAGGGGCUUUGAGCGAUCUUGUCAAAAUGGUUUUUACCGACCCGUCUUGAAACAGGGACCAAGGAGA
Molecule: ribosomal RNA, 602 nt
Filed under: Pelagostrobilidium sp.
Lineage: Eukaryota; Ciliophora; Spirotrichea; Choreotrichida; Strobilidiidae
Description: partial large subunit ribosomal RNA
Rfam family: Eukaryotic large subunit ribosomal RNA
Source: RNAcentral